AAGAGUUUGAUCAUGGCUCAGAUUGAACGCUGGCGGCAGGCCUAACACAUGCAAGUCGAGCGGAUGAAGGGAGCUUGCUCCUGGAUUCAGCGGCGGACGGGUGAGUAAUGCCUAGGAAUCUGCCUGGUAGUGGGGGAUAACGUCCGGAAACGGGCGCUAAUACCGCAUACGUCCUGAGGGAGAAAGUGGGGGAUCUUCGGACCUCACGCUAUCAGAUGAGCCUAGGUCGGAUUAGCUAGUUGGUGGGGUAAAGGCCUACCAAGGCGACGAUCCGUAACUGGUCUGAGAGGAUGAUCAGUCACACUGGAACUGAGACACGGUCCAGACUCCUACGGGAGGCAGCAGUGGGGAAUAUUGGACAAUGGGGCGAAAGCCUGAUCCAGCCAUGCCGCGUGUGUGA
RNAcentral lists this ribosomal RNA (400 nucleotides) under Pseudomonas aeruginosa. Its description in RNAcentral is "bacterial SSU rRNA". It matches the Rfam family "Bacterial small subunit ribosomal RNA", at positions 1 to 408 of the family's 1533-position model. Lineage: Bacteria; Pseudomonadati; Pseudomonadota; Gammaproteobacteria; Pseudomonadales; Pseudomonadaceae. The record is from RNAcentral.